CGCGCAGGCGGGCCGGCAAGUUGGAAGUGAAAUCUAUGGGCUUAACCCAUAAACUGCUUUCAAACUGCUGGUCUUGAGUGAUGGAGAGGCAGGCGGAAUUCCGUGUGUAGCGGUGAAAUGCGUAGAUAUACGGAGGAACACCAGUGGCGAAGGCGGCCUGCUGGACAUUAACUGACGCUGAGGCGCGAAAGCGUGGGGAGCAAACA
This 206-nucleotide ribosomal RNA is filed under the name uncultured bacterium. RNAcentral describes it as "partial 16S ribosomal RNA". It matches the Rfam family "Bacterial small subunit ribosomal RNA", at positions 568 to 774 of the family's 1533-position model. The record is from RNAcentral.